GGCCCUAUCGUCUAGUGGUUAGGACAUUGGGUUUUCAUCCCAAAAACCGGGAUUCGACUUCCCGUGGGGCCG
RNAcentral lists this transfer RNA (72 nucleotides) under Candidatus Nealsonbacteria bacterium CG_4_10_14_0_2_um_filter_35_20. RNAcentral describes it as "tRNA-Glu". It matches the Rfam family "tRNA". Rfam says of the family: Transfer RNA (tRNA) molecules are approximately 80 nucleotides in length. Their secondary structure includes four short double-helical elements and three loops (D, anti-codon, and T loops). Further hydrogen bonds mediate the characteristic L-shaped molecular structure. tRNAs have two regions of fundamental functional importance: the anti-codon, which is responsible for specific mRNA codon recognition, and the 3' end, to which the tRNAs corresponding amino acid is attached (by aminoacyl-tRNA synthetases). tRNAs cope with the degeneracy of the genetic code in two manners: having more than one tRNA (with a specific anti-codon) for a particular amino acid; and 'wobble' base-pairing, i.e. permitting non-standard base-pairing at the 3rd anti-codon position. The record is from RNAcentral. Lineage: Bacteria; Candidatus Nealsoniibacteriota. RNAcentral also lists the same sequence under 4 other names.